AUUGAACGCUGGCGGCAGGCCUAACACAUGCAAGUCGAGAGGAGCGGCGGACGGGUGAGUAAUGCCUAGGAAUCGGCCUGGUAGUGGGGGAUAACGUCCGGAAACGGGCGCUAAUACCGCAUCCUAUCAGAUGAACCUAGGUCGGAUUAGCUAGUUGGGGGGGUAAAGGCCUCCCAAGGCGACGAUCCGUACCUGGUCUGAGAGGAUGAUCAGUCACACUGGCACUGAGACACGGUCCAGACUCUUACGGGAGGAAGCAGUGGGGAAUCUUGGUCAAGGGGUGAAAGCCUGAUCCAGCCAUGUCGCGUGUGUGAAGAAGGUCUUCGGAUUGUAAAGCACUUUAAGUUGGGAGGCGUUACCAACAGAAUAAGCACCGGCUAACUUCGUGCCAGCAGCCGCGGUAAUUC
This 407-nucleotide ribosomal RNA is filed under the name uncultured bacterium. RNAcentral describes it as "partial 16S ribosomal RNA". It matches the Rfam family "Bacterial small subunit ribosomal RNA", at positions 30 to 526 of the family's 1533-position model. The record is from RNAcentral.